GGGCCGUUAGCUCAGUCGGUAGAGCAACGCACUUUUAAUGCGUGGGUCGACAGUUCGAAUCUGUCACGGCCUA
RNAcentral lists this transfer RNA (73 nucleotides) under bacterium E08(2017). It matches the Rfam family "tRNA". From Rfam's summary of the family: Transfer RNA (tRNA) molecules are approximately 80 nucleotides in length. Their secondary structure includes four short double-helical elements and three loops (D, anti-codon, and T loops). The record is from Rfam by way of RNAcentral.